AACGAACGCUGGCGGCAUGCCUAACACAUGCAAGUCGAACGAGACCUUCGGGUCUAGUGGCGCACGGGUGCGUAACGCGUGGGAAUCUGCCCUUAGGUUCGGAAUAACUCAGGGAAACUUGAGCUAAUACCGGAUGAUGACUUCGGUCCAAAGAUUUAUCGCCUGAGGAUGAGCCCGCGUAGGAUUAGCUUGUUGGUGAGGUAAAGGCUCACCAAGGCGACGAUCCUUAGCUGGUCUGAGAGGAUGAUCAGCCACACUGGGACUGAGACGCGGCCCAGACUCCUACGGGAGGCAGCAGUGGGGAAUAUUGGACAAUGGGCGCAAGCCUGAUCCAGCAAUGCCGCGUGAGUGAUGAAGGCCUUAGGGUUGUAAAGCUCUUUUACCCGGGAUGAUAAUGACCGUACCGGGAGAAUAAGACUCCGGCUAACUCCGUGCCAGCAGCCGCGGUAAUACGGAGGGAGCUAGCGUUGUUCGGAAUUACUGGGCGUAAAGCGACG
This 497-nucleotide ribosomal RNA is filed under the name uncultured bacterium. RNAcentral describes it as "bacterial SSU rRNA". It matches the Rfam family "Bacterial small subunit ribosomal RNA", at positions 28 to 570 of the family's 1533-position model. The record is from RNAcentral.